CCUACGGGAGGCAGCAGUAGGGAAUAUUGCUCAAUGGGGGAAACCCUGAAGCAGCAACGCCGCGUGGAGGAUGAAGGUCUUCGGAUUGUAAACUCCUUUUGUUAGAGAAGAUAAUUACGGUAUCUAACGAAUAAGCACCGGCUAACUCCGUGCCAGCAGCCGCGGUCAUACGGAGGGUGCACGCGUUACUCGGAAUCUCUGGGGGGAAAGAGCGCGUAGGCGGGAUAGCAAGUCAGAUGUGAAAUCCUAUGGGUUAACCCUAGAACUGCAUUUGAAACUGUUAUUCUAGAGUAUGGGAGAGGUAGGUGGAAUUCUAGGUGUAGGGGUAAAAUCCGUAGAGAUCAAGAGGAAUACUCAUUGCGAAGGCGACCUGCUAGAACAUAACUGACGCUGAUGCGCGAAAGCGUGGGGAGCAAACAGGAUUAGAUACCCUUGUAGUC
This 440-nucleotide ribosomal RNA is filed under the name uncultured bacterium. Its description in RNAcentral is "partial 16S ribosomal RNA". It matches the Rfam family "Bacterial small subunit ribosomal RNA", at positions 338 to 795 of the family's 1533-position model. The record is from RNAcentral.